GUCUGAAUAAUUUAACGGUAAAAUUCUAUUUUCAUGCAAUAGUUAUGAGGGUUCGACUCUCUCUUCAGACU
Molecule: transfer RNA, 71 nt
Filed under: Fusarium annulatum
Lineage: Eukaryota; Fungi; Ascomycota; Sordariomycetes; Hypocreales; Nectriaceae
Also listed under: 1 other name
Description: tRNA-Met
Rfam family: tRNA
About the family: Transfer RNA (tRNA) molecules are approximately 80 nucleotides in length. Their secondary structure includes four short double-helical elements and three loops (D, anti-codon, and T loops).
Source: RNAcentral